This 561-nucleotide ribosomal RNA is filed under the name Hypopachus ustum (two-spaded narrow-mouthed toad). Its description in RNAcentral is "16S ribosomal RNA". Lineage: Eukaryota; Metazoa; Chordata; Amphibia; Anura; Microhylidae. The record is from RNAcentral.
AAGGAUCUAAGUCCUACCUUAAGCUUAUUCUAUACUAAAAAUGUUUUUUAAACUUAAGAGCUAUUCAAAUAAGGUACAGCCUAUUUGAAACAGGAAACAACCUAGACAACGGGGUAAUAAACAACAGCACAUGUCCAAGUGGGCCUAAAAGCAGCCAACUUUAAAAAAGCGUUAAAGCUUCGACAUUAGCUUCUACAAUCCCAACCUCCACCUACAACCCCUAUUCAGUAUUAAAUAACCCUAUAACCCUAUAGGAGCUAUUAUGCUAAUACUAGUAACAUGAAGAAGACCUUCUCCUAAAUGCAUGUAUAAGCCAAAAAGAACAACUCGUUGGCAUUUACCGUUAUUGAACCUAAAGCAACAACCCCUCAAGAAAACAUUGCUUACUCCAACGUUAAUCUUACACAAGAGCAUCCCAGGAAAGAUUGAAAGAAGUAGAAGGAACUCGGCAAAACUUAACCCCGCCUGUUUACCAAAAACAUCGCCUCCUGAAAACAUAGGAGGUCUAGCCUGCCCAGUGACCACGUUAAACGGCCGCGGUACCCUAACCGUGCAAGGCGG